Long non-coding RNA from Zea mays, 702 nucleotides. RefSeq lists it as uncharacterized. The transcript is spliced from 2 exons. The record is from RefSeq and is a predicted model, not a curated record. Lineage: Eukaryota; Viridiplantae; Streptophyta; Magnoliopsida; Poales; Poaceae.
GUUUGAUUGCAUCCUUGCUGAGCUGUAUCUGAUCCACAUUAUUUUUCCAGGUCCCUAUAAAAUGGCCAAAAAGUCGUGAUGUAGUAUGGAAAGCAAACAUUCCACACACUCACCUUGCAAAAGAGAAGUCAGACUAGAACUGGAUGGUUGAAGCUGGUUAAAAAAUCAAGUUUCCAGGUGGUGGGACCCAUUUUCACCAUGGAGCUGACAAAUACAUAUCAAAUAUUGCAAAUAUGCUAAAUUUCAAAGAUAACAAUAUAAACAAUGAGGGGAUGCUUCGUACAGUCCUUGAUGUUGGUUGUGGAGUUGUUAGUUUCGGAGGAUACCUUAUUUCUUCUAAUGUGAUAGCAAUGUCUUUGGCACCAAACGACGUGCAUCAGAAUCAGAUUCAGUUUGCACUCGAAAGAGGAAUCCCUGCAUAUCUUGGUGUUUUGGGAACAAAAAGGCUUCCAUACCCGAGUAGAUCAUUUGAACUAGCCCAUUGUUCACGUUGUAGGAUCGACUGGCUUCAAAGAGAUGGGAUUCUUCUGCUCGAACUAGACAGAUGGAGUUUGGGAGCCUGUUAAAUGAUUUUGUAAAGUGUUUGCAAAUAUGUGCAAAACAUAAUAACAUGUGUAGGUUUUGUGAAUGAUUUUGUUGUGGUGCUUGUUGAUGGUUUAUGUGAUGUGGAUCUAUCAUUGUGCAAUACUAAUUAAAUUUGUA